AACGGUCUAUACCUGCGGUACCUGCGGAAGGAUCAUUACCGAGUUAGGGUCUUCCUGGCCCGACCUCCAACCCUUUGUUUACUAUACCCAUGUUGCUUUGGCGGGCCUGCCUUUCGGGGCUGCCGGGGGCAUCACUGCCCUUGACCUGUGCCUGCCAGGAGCCUUCUUUAAAUUCUGUGUUCAACUGUGUUGUCUGAGUCCCAAUAUCAAAAUAUAAAAAACUUUUAACAAUGGAUCUCU
RNAcentral lists this unclassified non-coding RNA (240 nucleotides) under soil metagenome. RNAcentral describes it as "partial contains 5.8S ribosomal RNA, internal transcribed spacer 2, and large subunit ribosomal RNA". The record is from RNAcentral.